GACGAACGCUGGCGGCGUGCUUAACACAUGCAAGUCGAACGGAAAGGCCCUGCUUUUGUGGGGUGCUCGUGUGCCGAACGGGUGAGUAACACGUGAGUAACCUGCACCUGACUGUGGGAUAACUUCAGGAAACUGGGGCUAAUACCGGAUAGGAUCUCCUGCUGCAUGGUGGGGGUUGGAUAGUUUCGGCUGUUGGGGAUGGACUCGCGGCUUAUCCGCUUGUUGGUGGGGUAGGUGCUUACCAAGGCUUUGACGGGUAGCCGGCCUGAGAGGGUGACCGGCCACAUUGGGACUGCGGGACGGCCCAGAAUCGUACGGGAGGCAGCAGUGGGGAGUAUGGCACAAUGGGCGGAAGCCUGAUGCAGAAACGCCGCGGGCGGGAUACCGGCCUUCGAGUUGUAAACCGCUUUCGCCUGUGACAAAGCGGGAGUGACGGUAAUGGGUAAAGAAGCACCGGCUAACUACGUG
This 468-nucleotide ribosomal RNA is filed under the name uncultured bacterium. RNAcentral's name for it is "partial 16S ribosomal RNA". It matches the Rfam family "Bacterial small subunit ribosomal RNA", at positions 28 to 507 of the family's 1533-position model. The record is from RNAcentral.